AUGCGAGCUUUCACUGGUGUCCCAAGCCAACCUAGCCCCUCCUUCCAGGGUGUUUGCCAGGACCUAAUGCACCCAGGCCGCCCCAUGCUGGGCAGGCGUACGGGCGGCGCCAGGCUGUCUCAGGCCUCCCUGGGAAUGGCCAGGCCCCGGGGUGGAUGCGAGGGUCCGAGGUGCCCACCAGAGAAACCAAGGUGGCCCUCCAACAAAGGCGAAGUGAAGUGGGAGCACCUGGAGCUCCCCAGGCCCAGCUUUCCUUCCGAUUCCGUGGCAGGCCCCUCUCUGAAUUGCCCACCUGCCUGGGUCCUGGCUCCCGUCUGGGCCCCUGGCCAUGUGGCCCCUCCUCCUUGGCUCUGUGCCAUGGUUCUGUCCCCGGUGACAAACCCAUCAUGGGACUGUAGCCCUUUGCACCUGCUGGGCCCUGCACUCUGUAGGGUAGGGCGGGAGGGUGGUACUCACUGCAGGGCAUUUGCUAGUGGUGUCACUGUUCCCUUCCAGGCCGGGAACCAGGAGGCCGAGAAGGGAAUCGGGGCCAGUCUGGCCCACACGUGGACAGCAGCGGUGAGCAGCAAGGCCGGUCCAAGCUGUUUCGCUUUGGGCUCCUGGCCUUCCUCCUGGGACCCUCGGCGGGAGUCUGUUCUCUGCCCGUCAGCUGCCCAGGGGCUGCCGACCUGGGGCCUGGAUGCUGAGGACCUUGGAGCCCACAUGUCCAUCGGCCCAGCGGGAGCCUGAGCCCUCCUCCCUCCCAGCCCAGGACUGGGGAAGUGAGGACUAACAAUGUUCUGGAUCAGGGCAUAAGGGCAGAGGUCUGAGGCUGGAGGACGUGUCCCAGGUCAGCCCAGGGGGGCCUCAGGGGCUAUUGUUGUGAGUAGCGGUCAUUGAUUGGUCGGUGCCCAGCAUUGUGUCAAUAAAUUGUACCUGUUAUAUACACACCUC
This 933-nucleotide long non-coding RNA is filed under the name Canis lupus familiaris (dog). RNAcentral describes it as "lncRNA (ENSCAFG00845029298.1)". The record is from RNAcentral. Lineage: Eukaryota; Metazoa; Chordata; Mammalia; Carnivora; Canidae.